GCGUCUUUGCCCGAGUGGUUAAGGGGGCAGAUUCAAGCUUAUUGAAAGUUUUCUCGAUAAUGAGAUCCCUGCUGCGAAAGCGCAAGAGUUCGAAUCUCUUAGGACGCA
This 108-nucleotide transfer RNA is filed under the name Saitozyma sp. JCM 24511. RNAcentral's name for it is "tRNA-Leu". It matches the Rfam family "tRNA". From Rfam's summary of the family: Transfer RNA (tRNA) molecules are approximately 80 nucleotides in length. The record is from RNAcentral. Lineage: Eukaryota; Fungi; Basidiomycota; Tremellomycetes; Tremellales; Trimorphomycetaceae.